AACGAACGCUGGCGGCAUGCCUAACACAUGCAAGUCGAACGAGACCUUCGGGUCUAGUGGCGCACGGGUGCGUAACGCGUGGGAACCUGCCCCUAGGUUCGGAAUAACUCCCCGAAAGGGGUGCUAAUACCGGAUAAUGUCUUCGGACCAAAGAUUUAUCGCCUUUGGAUGGACCCGCGUUGGAUUAGCUAGUUGGUAGGGUAAAAGCCUACCAAGGCGACGAUCCAUAGCUGGUCUGAGAGGAUGAUCAGCCACACUGGGACUGAGACACGGCCCAGACUCCUACGGGAGGCAGCAGUGGGGAAUAUUGGACAAUGGGCGAAAGCCUGAUCCAGCAAUGCCGCGUGAGUGAUGAAGGCCUUAGGGUUGUAAAGCUCUUUUACCCGGGAUGAUAAUGACAGUCCCGGGAGAAUAAGCUCCGGCUAACUCCGUG
This 433-nucleotide ribosomal RNA is filed under the name uncultured bacterium. RNAcentral describes it as "partial 16S ribosomal RNA". It matches the Rfam family "Bacterial small subunit ribosomal RNA", at positions 29 to 507 of the family's 1533-position model. The record is from RNAcentral.